This 815-nucleotide long non-coding RNA is filed under the name Setaria italica (foxtail millet). RNAcentral's name for it is "long non-coding RNA (SITA_LNC003541)". Lineage: Eukaryota; Viridiplantae; Streptophyta; Magnoliopsida; Poales; Poaceae. The record is from RNAcentral.
UUGCGGGCCGGCAGGCAUAAACAAGUAGAGGACGAGGGGGAGGGACAGGGGUGACGGCCUGCCUGACCCAACCGGUGGCCUCGGAUCCGGAGAUUCUGCAGACACACAUGAGUGCCUGCCACACCCUCUCGCUCCACUCCCUGCACUUUACAAUCCCAGCAGCUCUCACUCACUCAAGCCUGAACCCCAGCUCCGCUCAGCUUGCCGCCACCUAAUCCGCCAUUUCUCGCUGGUUUCCUGCUCCAUCCCUCCCUCCCCCUCUCUCUUUUCUCACAGCUGACCUCUUUUUUUUUUCCUCCUUCUACCUUGGCAUAUAAAAAUCUCAGCCUUGGCCAUGGGGUGCCUCUCUCUCUCUUCUUCUCCCUCUGGUACUAAACCUGUCAGGGAGGCUUAGGCCAUGUUUAGUUACUCCCAACUCCCAACUUUGACACUAUGCAAAAAGAAGAUUCCCCAUCACAUCAAACUUGCGGUACAUGCAUGGAGUACUAAAUGUAGAUGAAAUUAAAAACUAAUUGCACAGUUUUGUUGUACUUUGCGAGACGAAUCUUUUGAGCCUAAUUAGUCAAUAUUUGGACAAUAAUUCACAAAUACAAACGAAACGCUACAGUGUGCUACAGUGCUGUAACAGUAAUUUGGCACCCCCAAAUUCGCCAAACUAAACACGGCCUUAGCUUAAACCUCACCACCAGUACACCUACUUCCUGGCUUUGCAACAAAGUUGCAGGCCACUUUCCUCUGGUGCUUCCGGCACAAGCAAGAACACGGAUUUGCAAGUGACACCAGCUGCAGCCGAUCCUACAGCAUCAGCUCACCUC